Molecule: ribosomal RNA, 460 nt
Filed under: uncultured bacterium
Lineage: Bacteria
Description: partial 16S ribosomal RNA
Rfam family: Bacterial small subunit ribosomal RNA
Source: RNAcentral
CCUACGGGUGGCAGCAGUGAGGAAUAUUGGUCAAUGGCCGAGAGGCUGAACCAGCCAAGUCGCGUGAGGGAAGAAUGUCCUAUGGAUUGUACACCUCUUUUGUCAGGGAGCAAAGUCACCCACGUGUGGGUGUUGGAGAGUACCUGAAGAAAAAGCAUCGGCUAACUCCGUGCCAGCAGCCGCGGUAAUACGGAGGAUCCGAGCGUUAUCCGGAUUUAUUGGGUUUAAAGGGAGCGUAGAUGGGUUGUUAAGUCAGUUGUGAAAGUUUGCGGCUCAACCGUAAAAUUGCAAUUGAUACUGGCAGUCUUGAGUACAGUUGAGGUAGGCGGAAUUCGUGGUGUAGCGGUGAAAUGCUUAGAGAUCACGAAGAACUCCGAUUGCGAAGGCAGCUUACUAAACUGCCACUGACAUUGAUGCUCGAAAGUGUGGGUAUCAAACAGGAUUAGAUACCCCAGUAGUC